Molecule: ribosomal RNA, 253 nt
Filed under: uncultured bacterium
Lineage: Bacteria
Description: partial 16S ribosomal RNA
Rfam family: Bacterial small subunit ribosomal RNA
Source: RNAcentral
UACAGAGGUGGCGAGCGUUGUUCGGAUUUACUGGGCGUAAAGGGCGCGUAGGCGGCCGCGCGUGUCGGGUGUGAAAUCCCAGGGCUCAACCCUGGAAGUGCGCCCGAAACUGCGUGGCUGGAGUGCGGGAGGGGGGAUCGGAAUGCAGGGUGUAGCGGUGAAAUGCGUUGAUAUCCUGCAGAACACCGGUGGCGAAGGCGGAUCCCUGGAACGCAACUGACGCUGAGGCGCGAAAGCCGGGGGAGCAAACAGG